UAGUUGGUGAGGUAAAAGCCCACCAAGGCAGAGAUCGGUAGCCGGCCUGAGAGGGCACACGGCCACACUGGCACUGAAACACGGGCCAGACUCCUACGGGAGGCAGCAGUGGGGAAUCUUGCACAAUGGGGGCAACCCUGAUGCAGCGACGCCGCGUGAGCGAUGAAGCCCUUCGGGGUGUAAAGCUCUUUCGUCAGGGAAGAUCAUGACGGUACCUGGAGAAGCAGCUGCGGCUAACUACGUGCCAGCAGCCGCGGUAAUACGCAGGCAGCAAGCGUUGUUCGGAGUUACUGGGCGUAAAGGGUGUGUAGGCGGUUCUUUAAGUUUGGUGUGAAAUCUCCCGGCUCAACCGGGAGGGUGCGCCGAAUACUGAGGGACUAGAGUGUGGGAGAGGAAAGUGGAAUUCCUGGUGUAGCGGUGAAAUGCGUAGAUAUCAGGAGGAACACCGGUGGUGUAGACGGCUUUCUGGACCAUAACUGACGCUGAGACACGAAAGCGUGGGUAGCAAACAGGAUUAGAUACCCUGGUAGUCCACGCCCUAAACGAUGCAUAUUUGGUGUGGGUCAUUCAGUUGAUCCGUGCCGGAGCUAACGCGUUAAAUAUGCCGCCUGGGGAGUACAGUCGCAAGGCUGAAACUCAAAGGAAUUGACG
This 651-nucleotide ribosomal RNA is filed under the name uncultured Acidobacteriota bacterium. RNAcentral describes it as "SSU rRNA". It matches the Rfam family "Bacterial small subunit ribosomal RNA", at positions 246 to 915 of the family's 1533-position model. The record is from RNAcentral. Lineage: Bacteria; Pseudomonadati; Acidobacteriota.